Molecule: transfer RNA, 53 nt
Filed under: Myodes glareolus (Bank vole)
Lineage: Eukaryota; Metazoa; Chordata; Mammalia; Rodentia; Cricetidae
Description: partial tRNA-Trp
Source: RNAcentral
AGAAGUUUAGGAUACCCAGUCCAAGAGCCUUCAAAGCCCUAAGCAAACCUACA